AUAAGCAGAAACCAUGUGACUUAAGGAACCAAUCUCAGUAUACUAAACAGACCAAAUGAGCAGUUCAUGAACAACCCAUAAGCUGAAAUGUGUUCACAUAAACAACCUGGAGAAUGCUUCCAAAGAAUGAAUACACCCACAGAAGAUAGGAUCAGUUCAAAUCUUUUCUCCCCAUCUUGCCUGAGGGGGAAAUUGAAGGGCAGGUCUUCUACAUCCCAGUGAAUCUUUAACUUUUCUGAUGCCUGACCAGACCAAUUACCUCUGUUUAAUGUCUUAUCCUAAGGACAACAAAUGUGCACCUUCCUUUCCUACCCACUGAACUACCCUGGCACAGAAAAUUACAGCAUCUUUGGGUGCACUUCUAAUACCUUGAGGUCUUUUGAAAACAUAUGAGUCCUGGAACCUGCCUGAACCUAAGCGAAGCAUGAAAGAGCAACACAAUGAAGGACAAAGUUUUAAGGGGUUGAAGACUGGAUGGGGCUGGAAAAUGAAGAACUCUACACAAUUAAAAUAUAUCCUUGACUGAAGCUAGUGGCCCCUGGAAGUUUGCAGUGCCAGUUGGAUCCUGGGUGUCAAGGAAAAGGUCUCAUUUUCUUCUCCAGCAACUAAGGAAUUCCACAUUCCUGUAUUAGAUAUUGGGUGGCAAUUCUCUUGGAAAG
This is a long non-coding RNA of Mauremys reevesii (Reeves's turtle), 659 nucleotides long. RefSeq lists it as uncharacterized. NCBI's taxonomy places the organism in Eukaryota, Metazoa, Chordata, Testudines, Geoemydidae. The transcript is spliced from 4 exons. The record is from RefSeq and is a predicted model, not a curated record.